Molecule: ribosomal RNA, 408 nt
Filed under: Phaeocystis sp. JD-2012
Lineage: Eukaryota; Haptophyta; Phaeocystales; Phaeocystaceae
Description: SSU rRNA
Rfam family: Eukaryotic small subunit ribosomal RNA
Source: RNAcentral
UGCGCGUAAAUUGCCCGAAUCCUGACACAGGGAGGUAGUGACAAGAAAUAACAAUACAGGGCUACUUCUAGUCUUGUAAUUGGAAUGAGUACAACUUACAUCUCUUCACGAGGAUCAAUUGGAGGGCAAGUCUGGUGCCAGCAGCCGCGGUAAUUCCAGCUCCAAUAGCGUAUAUUAAAGUUGUUGCAGUUAAAAAGCUCGUAGUCGGAUUUCGGGUCGGGCCGAGCGGUCUGCCGAUGGGUAUGCACUGUUCGGCGCGGCCUUCUUUCCGGAGACCGCGGCUACUCUUAACUGAGCGGGCGUGGGAGACGGAUCGUUUACUUUGAAAAAAUCAGAGUGUUUCAAGCAGGCAGCUCGCUCUUGCAUGGAUUAGCAUGGGAUAAUGAAAUAGGACUCUGGUGCUAUUUU